ACUCAAAUGAAUAGACGGGGACCCGCACAAGCGGUGGAGCAUGUGGUUUAAUUCGAGGCAACGCGAAGAACCUUACCAGCCCUUGACAUGUCUAGUGUGAUCGUCAGAGAUGACUUUCUUCACCUCGGGUGGCUAGAACACAGGUGCUGCAUGGCUGUCGUCAGCUCGUGUCGUGAGAUGUUGGGUUAAGUCCCGCAACGAGCGCAACCCUCACUCUCUGUUGCCAUCAGGUUAUGCUGGGCACUCUGAGAGAACUGCCGGUGACAAGCCGGAGGAAGGCGGGGAUGACGUCAAGUCUUCAUGGCCCUUAUGGGCUGGGCUACACACGUGCUACAAUGGCGGCGACAAUGGGACGCUACCCCGCGAGGGGACGCUAAUCUCCAAACGCCGCCUCAGUUCGGAUUGCACUCUGCAACUCGAGUGCAUGAAGCUGGAAUCGCUAGUAAUCGCGGAUCAGCACGCCGCGGUGAAUACGUUCCCGGGUCUUGCACACACCGCCCGU
RNAcentral lists this ribosomal RNA (502 nucleotides) under uncultured bacterium. RNAcentral's name for it is "partial 16S ribosomal RNA". It matches the Rfam family "Bacterial small subunit ribosomal RNA", at positions 899 to 1397 of the family's 1533-position model. The record is from RNAcentral.